Molecule: ribosomal RNA, 930 nt
Filed under: Ralstonia sp. GX3-BWBA
Lineage: Bacteria; Pseudomonadati; Pseudomonadota; Betaproteobacteria; Burkholderiales; Burkholderiaceae
Description: bacterial SSU rRNA
Rfam family: Bacterial small subunit ribosomal RNA
Source: RNAcentral
AGAGUUUGAUCCUGGCUCAGAUUGAACGCUGGCGGCAUGCCUUACACAUGCAAGUCGAACGGCAGCAUGAUCUAGCUUGCUAGAUUGAUGGCGAGUGGCGAACGGGUGAGUAAUACAUCGGAACGUGCCCUGUAGUGGGGGAUAACUAGUCGAAAGAUUAGCUAAUACCGCAUACGACCUGAGGGUGAAAGUGGGGGACCGCAAGGCCUCAUGCUAUAGGAGCGGCCGAUGUCUGAUUAGCUAGUUGGUGGGGUAAAGGCCCACCAAGGCGACGAUCAGUAGCUGGUCUGAGAGGACGAUCAGCCACACUGGGACUGAGACACGGCCCAGACUCCUACGGGAGGCAGCAGUGGGGAAUUUUGGACAAUGGGCGAAAGCCUGAUCCAGCAAUGCCGCGUGUGUGAAGAAGGCCUUCGGGUUGUAAAGCACUUUUGUCCGGAAAGAAAUGGCUCUGGUUAAUACCUGGGGUCGAUGACGGUACCGGAAGAAUAAGGACCGGCUAACUACGUGCCAGCAGCCGCGGUAAUACGUAGGGUCCAAGCGUUAAUCGGAAUUACUGGGCGUAAAGCGUGCGCAGGCGGUUGUGCAAGACCGAUGUGAAAUCCCCGAGCUUAACUUGGGAAUUGCAUUGGUGACUGCACGGCUAGAGUGUGUCAGAGGGGGGUAGAAUUCCACGUGUAGCAGUGAAAUGCGUAGAGAUGUGGAGGAAUACCGAUGGCGAAGGCAGCCCCCUGGGAUAACACUGACGCUCAUGCACGAAAGCGUGGGGAGCAAACAGGAUUAGAUACCCUGGUAGUCCACGCCCUAAACGAUGUCAACUAGUUGUUGGGGAUUCAUUUCCUUAGUAACGUAGCUAACGCGUGAAGUUGACCGCCUGGGGAGUACGGUCGCAAGAUUAAAACUCAAAGGAAUUGACGGGGACCCGCACAA